This is a long non-coding RNA of Daktulosphaira vitifoliae (grape phylloxera), 616 nucleotides long. RefSeq lists it as uncharacterized. Lineage: Eukaryota; Metazoa; Arthropoda; Insecta; Hemiptera; Phylloxeridae. The transcript is spliced from 2 exons. The record is from RefSeq and is a predicted model, not a curated record.
UAAGACAAUGUAAAUAAUUUUACUAAUUUUUUUUUUCUUGUGAGGGGGGCUUUAAUCUUUCGAUCCCUUAUCUAUGAAGAUACAAUUGUUUGGUGAGUCCGAUUAUCAACAAAAUUUUUUCAUUAUUAAAAAAAAGUAGAUAGAUGGAUUUAUUUUUCACUGGCAGCCGCUAAGGUUAUACGUGUUUUUAUGAGCUCAGCAAUUUUCGUUUAUUGAAAAAAAAAUGAAUCGAAAGAUUUGUAUUAAAUUUUGAGUAAAAAAUGAAAUAAAGUGUGUGAAAUGUUAACAUAGGCCUAUGGUGGUCUGCCAUGAGUAAAACGAGGGUUUACGAGUGGUAUAAGCAUUUACAAGAUGGCUGUAAAGACGUUGAGGAUGACAAACACCUCAGCACAUCAACAACCGAUGAAAAAGUGAAAGAAAUCGUUAUGAACGACCGCGAAACACAAUCAGAGAAGUCGAUUGUGUCCAACAUCUAAUAAUGUUUGAAUAUCGAUUGGUUUGUACUAUGAAAUUUUUUCGAAUGUUUUGAGUAUGAAACGCAUAGCAGCAAAAUUUAUCUCAAAAUUGUUAAAUUUUGAACAAAAACAUCAGCGAUGAAGUCAACGACGAUGCAGAA